Molecule: transfer-messenger RNA, 360 nt
Filed under: uncultured Treponema sp.
Lineage: Bacteria; Pseudomonadati; Spirochaetota; Spirochaetia; Treponematales; Treponemataceae
Rfam family: transfer-messenger RNA
About the family: Bacterial tmRNA, also known as 10Sa RNA or SsrA, is named for its dual tRNA and mRNA-like properties.
Source: RNAcentral
GGGAGUGUACCGGUUUCGACAGAUAAGAGUAAUCUUGUGCUGCAGGUGAGGUUACGUUUGACCUCUGAUCAGACGGAAAAAAUAACUGACGAUUCUUACACAGAAGACGAGCAGUUUGCUCUCGCUGCCUAAGCAGCGAAACACGGAACUUAUGUUGCGCUGUUCCUAGCGGCAUGAUGUUCUGUUACAAAUAGGGACUUGCUCUGCAUCUCGUUCGGGUUUUGCAGGGGACUCUUACCGAAAUACGGAGACGACGCCUUUGGGGCCGCUACCGUCUCCCGACAAUCACCUCGCUCCAAUAAACCUGUAGAGGUGCCUGGUUAACUUACUUGGACGCGGGUUCGAUUCCCGCCACUUCCA